GCCCGUAUAGCUCAAGUACUUCACCCCGUUCAAACUUGUCUCCAAGAGCAUUUCACUGACCAUUCAAUAGUGGUAGAGCGCGUCACUAGUAAUGACGAGGUUGCCGGUUCGAUUCCGUCUAUGGGCA
This is a non-coding RNA of Cadophora malorum, 127 nucleotides long. The record is from the annotation of a GenBank genome assembly. NCBI's taxonomy places the organism in Eukaryota, Fungi, Ascomycota, Leotiomycetes, Helotiales, Ploettnerulaceae.